GACGAACGCUGGCGGCGUGCUUAACACAUGCAAGUGGAGCGACGAACCAGGCUUCGGCCUGGGGGCAAAGCCGCGAACGGGUGAGUAACACGUGGGUAACCUGCCCUGAUGACCGGGACAACCCGAGGAAACUCGGGCUAAUACCGGAUGUGCUCCCACCACAUCAGUGGUGUGAGUAAAGGUAGCUUCGGCCUCCGCAUCGGGAUGGGCCCGCGGCGCAUUAGCUUAUUGGUGGGGUAAAGGCCACCAAGGCUACGAUGCGUAGCUGGUCUGAGAGGACGAUCAGCCACACUGGGACUGAGACACGGCCCAGACUCCUACGGGAGGCAGCAGUGGGGAAUCUUGCGCAAUGCGCGAAAGCGUGACGCAGCAACGCCGCGUGAGUGAAGAAGGCCU
This 396-nucleotide ribosomal RNA is filed under the name uncultured bacterium. RNAcentral's name for it is "bacterial SSU rRNA". It matches the Rfam family "Bacterial small subunit ribosomal RNA", at positions 28 to 417 of the family's 1533-position model. The record is from RNAcentral.